This 76-nucleotide transfer RNA is filed under the name Escherichia coli. RNAcentral's name for it is "tRNA-Val". It matches the Rfam family "tRNA". From Rfam's summary of the family: Transfer RNA (tRNA) molecules are approximately 80 nucleotides in length. Their secondary structure includes four short double-helical elements and three loops (D, anti-codon, and T loops). Further hydrogen bonds mediate the characteristic L-shaped molecular structure. tRNAs have two regions of fundamental functional importance: the anti-codon, which is responsible for specific mRNA codon recognition, and the 3' end, to which the tRNAs corresponding amino acid is attached (by aminoacyl-tRNA synthetases). tRNAs cope with the degeneracy of the genetic code in two manners: having more than one tRNA (with a specific anti-codon) for a particular amino acid; and 'wobble' base-pairing, i.e. permitting non-standard base-pairing at the 3rd anti-codon position. Lineage: Bacteria; Pseudomonadati; Pseudomonadota; Gammaproteobacteria; Enterobacterales; Enterobacteriaceae. The record is from RNAcentral. RNAcentral also lists the same sequence under 6 other names.
GGGUGAUUAGCUCAGCUGGGAGAGCACCUCCCUUACAAGGAGGGGGUCUGCGGUUCGAUCCCGUCAUCACCCACCA